GGCUCGGUGGUGGAUGGUUCACACUUGUAUUCUGUGCUUGAGUUUGAUGAUAUAAGCAGGAGAUGCCUGUUCGAAUCAGGCCCGAGCCA
Mycena metata is the source of this 89-nucleotide non-coding RNA. Lineage: Eukaryota; Fungi; Basidiomycota; Agaricomycetes; Agaricales; Mycenaceae. The record is from the annotation of a GenBank genome assembly.